UAGAAGAUUGCCACCUAUUAUUAUCAAAUAAAGCUUGACUUCUUCCUCAUUGGGAAAAGAGGAAAGAAACAGCAGCCAUGGGAGAAGAGAGAACCGUGAGUUCUCAUGGCACUUCUAAGUUCGAUUUUUCGUCGAAAUAUCGAUCCAAUCGCGUAAACGUUAAGAAAUCAAGUUAGAGUCGACAUUAUGUCAGUGAUGUUGCGCAGCUUUGCAUCUUUGGCGAGUCACUGGUGGUCAACUUGGAUUAGUAGACGUGGCAUGUUGUGUAAUAGUUUAAUCUUUAACCUUCCGCUGGAUAAAUGUUACGUUUUCAAAUGUAAUAGAAUUUAAUUGUGCUUUUAAGCUAAAAAGAAAAGGAAAAAUUUCAGCA
Long non-coding RNA from Salvia splendens (bonfire salvia), 370 nucleotides. RefSeq lists it as uncharacterized. The transcript is spliced from 2 exons. The record is from RefSeq and is a predicted model, not a curated record. NCBI's taxonomy places the organism in Eukaryota, Viridiplantae, Streptophyta, Magnoliopsida, Lamiales, Lamiaceae.